GGAGAGAUGCCAGAGUGGUUGAAUGGGGCGGUCUCGAAAACCGUUGUUCGUGCGAACGGACCCAGGGUUCGAAUCCCUGUCUCUCCG
This 87-nucleotide transfer RNA is filed under the name Bacteroidota bacterium. RNAcentral describes it as "Bacteroidetes bacterium tRNA-Ser". It matches the Rfam family "tRNA". Rfam says of the family: Transfer RNA (tRNA) molecules are approximately 80 nucleotides in length. Their secondary structure includes four short double-helical elements and three loops (D, anti-codon, and T loops). Further hydrogen bonds mediate the characteristic L-shaped molecular structure. tRNAs have two regions of fundamental functional importance: the anti-codon, which is responsible for specific mRNA codon recognition, and the 3' end, to which the tRNAs corresponding amino acid is attached (by aminoacyl-tRNA synthetases). tRNAs cope with the degeneracy of the genetic code in two manners: having more than one tRNA (with a specific anti-codon) for a particular amino acid; and 'wobble' base-pairing, i.e. permitting non-standard base-pairing at the 3rd anti-codon position. Lineage: Bacteria; Pseudomonadati; Bacteroidota. The record is from RNAcentral.